CGGACGGGUGAGUAACGCGUGAGAAUCUGCCUCCAGGUCGGGGACAACAGCGGGAAACUGCUGCUAAUCCCGGAUAAGCCCUAGGGUAAAAGAUUUAUUGCCUGGAGAGGAGCUCGCGUCCGAUUAGCUAGAUGGUGAGGUAAGAGCUCACCAUGGCGACGAUCGGUAGCUGUUCUGAGAGGAAGAUCAGCCACACUGGGACUGAGACACGGCCCAGACUCCUACGGGAGGCAGCAGUGGGGAAUUUUCCGCAAUGGGCGAAAGCCUGACGGAGCAAGACCGCGUGCGGGAAGAAGGCCCUUGGGUCGUAAACCGCUUUUCUUAGGGAAGAAGCUCUGACGGUACCUAAGGAAUCAGCCUCGGCUAACUCCGUGCCAGCAGCCGCGGUAAUACGGAGGAGGCAAGCGUUAUCCGGAAUUAUUGGACGUAAAGCGUCCGCAGGCGGCUUAUCAAGUCUGCUGUCAAAGACUGGGGCUCAACCCUGGGGAGGCAGUGGAAACUGAGAAGCUAGAGUGCAGUAUGGGUAGAGGGAAUUCCCAGUGUAGCGGUGAAAUGCGUAGAGAUUGGGAAGAACACCGGUGGCGAAAGCGCUCUACUGGGCUGUAACUGACGCUGAGGGACGAAAGCUAGGGGAGCGAAAGGGAUUAGAUACCCCUGUAGU
RNAcentral lists this ribosomal RNA (661 nucleotides) under uncultured cyanobacterium. Its description in RNAcentral is "bacterial SSU rRNA". It matches the Rfam family "Bacterial small subunit ribosomal RNA", at positions 99 to 794 of the family's 1533-position model. The record is from RNAcentral. Lineage: Bacteria; Bacillati; Cyanobacteriota.